Molecule: ribosomal RNA, 253 nt
Filed under: uncultured bacterium
Lineage: Bacteria
Description: partial 16S ribosomal RNA
Rfam family: Bacterial small subunit ribosomal RNA
Source: RNAcentral
UACGUAGGCAGCAAGCGUUGUUCGGAAUUACUGGGCGUAAAGAGUGUGUAGGCGGUGCUCUAAGUUUGGUGUGAAAUCUCCCGGCUCAACUGGGAGGGUGCAUCGAAAACUGGAAUGCUAGAGGGUGGGAGAGGUAAGCGGAAUUCCUGGUGUAGCGGUGAAAUGCGUAGAUAUCAGGAGGAACACCUGUGGUGUAGACAGCUUACUGGACCACUUCUGACGCUGAGACACGAAAGCGUGGGUAGCAAACAGG